AACGAACGCUGGCGGCAGGCUUAACACAUGCAAGUCGAACGGCUGUAGCAAUACAGCAGUGGCAGACGGGUGAGUAACACGUGGGAACCUUCCUAGGGGUACGGAACAACUCAGGGAAACUUGAGCUAAUACCGUAUACGUCCGUAAGGAGAAAGAUUCAUCGCCCCUAGACGGGCCCGCGUCGGAUUAGGUAGUUGGUGGGGUAACGGCCUACCAAGCCUACGAUCCGUAGCUGAUCUGAGAGGAUGAUCAGCCACACUGGGACUGAGACACGGCCCAGACUCCUACGGGAGGCAGCAGUGGGGAAUCUUGGACAAUGGGCGCAAGCCUGAUCCAGCCAUGCCGCGUGAGUGAAGAAGGCCUUAGGGUUGUAAAGCUCUUUUACCAGGGACGAUAAUGACGGUACUAGAGAAUAAGCCCCGGCAAACUUCGUGCCAGCAGCCGC
Molecule: ribosomal RNA, 445 nt
Filed under: uncultured bacterium
Lineage: Bacteria
Description: bacterial SSU rRNA
Rfam family: Bacterial small subunit ribosomal RNA
Source: RNAcentral